GCCCGGUUAGCUCAAUCGGUAGAGCGUGAGACUCUUAAUCUCAAGGUUGCGGGUGUAAGUUUACAUACAUAUAUAUGCACUUAAACUUGAAUAUGCAACUAAUGAAUCGAUAGUCGACCCCCGCAUCGGGCU
Non-coding RNA from Xylaria arbuscula, 132 nucleotides. NCBI's taxonomy places the organism in Eukaryota, Fungi, Ascomycota, Sordariomycetes, Xylariales, Xylariaceae. The record is from the annotation of a GenBank genome assembly.